Molecule: non-coding RNA, 29 nt
Filed under: Rattus norvegicus (Norway rat)
Lineage: Eukaryota; Metazoa; Chordata; Mammalia; Rodentia; Muridae
Source: RNAcentral
UGAGAUGGUUGGAAAUAGUCUUGACCACU